UAACACGUGGGUAACCUGCCCUGAUGAUCGGGACAACCCGAGGAAACUCGGGCUAAUACCGAAUGUGCCCUCCGGCCAUAAGGCCACUGGGGAAAGGAAGCUUCGGCCUCCGCAUUGGGAUGGGCCCGCGGCCCAUUAGCUUGUUGGUGAGGUAACGGCUCACCAAGGCAAUGAUGGGUAGCUGGUCUGAGAGGACGAUCAGCCACACUGGGAUUGAGAACGGCCCAG
Molecule: ribosomal RNA, 228 nt
Filed under: uncultured bacterium
Lineage: Bacteria
Description: partial 16S ribosomal RNA
Rfam family: Bacterial small subunit ribosomal RNA
Source: RNAcentral